RNAcentral lists this ribosomal RNA (253 nucleotides) under uncultured bacterium. Its description in RNAcentral is "partial 16S ribosomal RNA". It matches the Rfam family "Bacterial small subunit ribosomal RNA", at positions 524 to 776 of the family's 1533-position model. The record is from RNAcentral.
UACGUAGGGGGCUAGCGUUGUCCGGAAUCAUUGGGCGUAAAGAGCGUGUAGGCGGCUCGGUAAGUCCGCUCUGAAAGCCCGGGGCUCAACCCCGGGAGGCGGGCGGAUACUGUCGGGCUAGAGUCCGGAAGAGGCGAGUGGAAUUCCUGGUGUAGCGGUGAAAUGCGCAGAUAUCCGGAGGAACACCGGUGGCGAAGGCGGCAUCCUGGACCGGCAUUGACGCUGAGGCGCGAAAGCUAGGGGAGCAAACGGG